UACGAAGGUCCCAAGCGUUGUUCGGAAUCAUUGGGCGUAAAGGGAGCGUAGGCGGCGUGGUAAGUCAGAUGUGAAAUCCCGGGGCUCAACCCCGGAACUGCAUCCGAUACUGCCAUGCUAGAGGAUUGGAGAGGUAGCUGGAAUUCUUGGUGUAGCAGUGAAAUGCGUAGAGAUCAAGAGGAACACUCGUGGCGAAAGCGAGCUACUGGACAAUUCCUGACGCUGAGGCUCGAAGGCUAGGGUAGCGAAAGGG
This 253-nucleotide ribosomal RNA is filed under the name uncultured bacterium. RNAcentral describes it as "partial 16S ribosomal RNA". It matches the Rfam family "Bacterial small subunit ribosomal RNA", at positions 524 to 776 of the family's 1533-position model. The record is from RNAcentral.